CGUUCAGGCAUCCAUUUGAUACUUAGAUGUUCGGUUUUUGGCAAGAACGGAUUCUUGAACACACGGGCAUUGUCUCCAUGGUUGAAGCUCUUGAUUGAAAUCUCCAGAAUUGAAGUUUGAGAGGUGAAGGUGAAACGCAGCAAGAAUGGAUCAUUUCCACCAUUAUCGAAUGUUUUCUUCUUGGUGUUUGGUUUUUCUUCUGAUGGAAUCAGCAGCUCAUGCCAUGUUUAAUCAGUUUUCAAGUUCUUGUCUGACGUUUACAAUGCAAUGUUCUGUAUGGACUCGACCACCCCCAAGAGACAAGAUGUCCAAAGAUGCAAUUAUAUCUCAAAUGAGUUGGCGUUUUCAUGGUUGUUCUUGGACAUUUUGGCAAAUGCUUACCGGUUCUUGAAGAGAUCGGCCCAACAAAAAACAUGCAAUCUGAUGGUUCUUGAAGAGGUGGCGCCAUGGAAAGCUCCCGAAGCUUUCUUUUUUUUCGAUUAAAGAAAUAGAUUGAGCAUGUGAACUUAAUUUUCUGUAAAAAGAUUGAUUUUAUGUUUAACCAAGAUGAAGCUCCGACUCGAUCUGUGAUAUAUACGUCAACGACGUGCGUGCAUGAACUAAUACACCAAACAAAAAAAGUAGAUAUCAUAUCCAAUCAUAACAGUAAAACAUAGGAUUCGGUCGGACCAAAUAAUUAUAGAAGAAAAACAACACCCAAUGACGGCAACGAGCCAUUCAAGAAAUCACAGUACCAUCUCUCCAACUCU
Tarenaya hassleriana is the source of this 749-nucleotide long non-coding RNA. RefSeq lists it as uncharacterized. The record is from RefSeq and is a predicted model, not a curated record. The transcript has 2 exons. NCBI's taxonomy places the organism in Eukaryota, Viridiplantae, Streptophyta, Magnoliopsida, Brassicales, Cleomaceae.